RNAcentral lists this ribosomal RNA (460 nucleotides) under uncultured bacterium. RNAcentral's name for it is "partial 16S ribosomal RNA". It matches the Rfam family "Bacterial small subunit ribosomal RNA", at positions 338 to 795 of the family's 1533-position model. The record is from RNAcentral.
CCUACGGGUGACAGCAGUGAGGAAUAUUGGUCAAUGGACGAGAGUCUGAACCAGCCAAGUAGCGUGAAGGAUGACUGCCCUAUGGGUUGUAAACUUCUUUUAUAUGGGAAUAAAACGUUCCACGUGUGGGAUUUUGUAUGUACUAUAUGAAUAAGGAUCGGCUAACUCCGUGCCAGCAGCCGCGGUAAUAAGGAGGAUCCGAGCGUUAUCCGGAUUUAUUGGGUUUAAAGGGAGCGUAGGUGGGUUGUUAAGUCAGUUGUGAAAGUUUGCGGCUCAACCGUAAAAUUGCAAGUGAGACUGGCAGUCUGGAGUACAGUAGAGGUAAGCGGAAUUAGUGGUGGAGAGGGGAAAUGCUUAGAGAUCAGGAGGAACACCGAUUGCGAAGGCAGCUGACGAAACUGUGACUGACAUUGAGGCUCGAAAGUGUGGGGAGCAAACAGGAAUAGAUACCCUAGUAGUC